CUAGAAGUGUGUCGUUGGAGACGGGAUGCGUUUUUAGUGUUAUAUAAUUUAAAUCACGUCUGUGAUCUUCUUUAAAUGGUCUCGAGCAGCAGAUAAACAUGACAUCUAACGGAUGAUCAGCUUCCCAACUGAAGGGCUCCUCCUUGUGGACAUGAAGCAUAUCUUACAGAACUGAACCACAGAGGGAAAAUCACUCUUACUGACUGACUUAGAUUGCAUGGGGAAAUGCAGAUCUACCUCUGCCUUUUCCUGUGACAUUGCCUUCCUUACUUAUUCAGUCACAAAUAGCCGCUGAGAGACAGUGCGUGUUGACAACAACAAACGCGUUUCGUCAAGAUGUUUGGCACCGUACGCCUUCUGUAGUAGCAGGUGGAUAAUAAAAGGUAAAGUUUUACGUCUGUUCAGCAGGCAGUUCAGCAAGAGAGCAGCACGUAAACAAGCUGCUGGCAUAUUUAUAUUUACAAUUACAAGCUUAAAUAAUAAUCAGUUCAUAUUUAAAUGUGUACUUAAAGUGCUAAGCAAACAAUUUUGCACGAUAAAUGACCUUAU
Molecule: non-coding RNA, 549 nt
Organism: Danio rerio (zebrafish)
Lineage: Eukaryota; Metazoa; Chordata; Actinopteri; Cypriniformes; Danionidae
Source: RefSeq, a predicted model, not a curated record